Long non-coding RNA from Vulpes vulpes (red fox), 2591 nucleotides. The record is from Ensembl. NCBI's taxonomy places the organism in Eukaryota, Metazoa, Chordata, Mammalia, Carnivora, Canidae.
GUAUGUUUGAAAGUUUGCAUCAUGACAGGGAAAAAGAAAAAAAAAGAAGACUUCUUUAACAGUUACUAGUCUUUUCAAAUAAAGAGAUAAUUCUAAUGACCAGAUUGGAAGUCUAAAUCAAACGUAUCACAUUAAGGAAUGUACCUUCAAGUUUGUUGUUAAAUUUUAAGUUGGUAAGCCUGACUUGCAGGCCAUUGAGGAUCAGAAUAAAAUGUGAUUUACUAAAGGAAUUGAAUGACAGCUUAUGGUCUGCAUUCAUUGCCACUGGAUAAUUUUUUUAAGACUUUAUUUUUUAGAGUCGUUCUAGGUUCAGAGCAAAAUCAAACGGAAGGUACAGAGAUUUCUCGUCUCUCCCCUGUCUGCACACUUGCAUAGUCUACCCUAUUAUCAAUAUUCCCCACCAGAGUGGUGCACUUAUUAAACUGAUAAAUUGUAUGUUGACCCGUCAUUGUCACCCUAAAUUGGUAGUGUACACUAGGGUUCACUCUCAGUCUUGUAUAUUCUGUGGCUUUGAGUAAAUGUGUAUGACAUAUAUCCACCAUUAUGAUAUAUACAGAAUACUUUCACCUCACUAGAGAAUUCUUGCUACUUCUUUGCUCCUGUUGAAUGAGGAGGUGACUCUGGUAGCCAUGUGUGGUUCCUUUGAACCUCAUGAGUGUGAUUCCCUAUAGGUAGAGCCAACGAGGAAGACUGAGGCCAGACCUCUCAUCUCACAGGGUACCUAGCUGUCCUCUAUCCCCACACCUCAGACUCCUCAGGAGAGAUGUCUGUGGAGCUGUGGAAAGGUACCUUCUUUAUGCAAAUGAAGAGACUAUGUGCUUGGAUUUUCUCGAUGACGAUUCCUGAUUCGUGGCCCUGGCAGUCUUGGGGAAGCGUUGUCGAGUUUCUUCAAUCCAGACCUUGGGGCCUCCUUUUUCUCCACAUCACUCCCACCCAGUUGAUCGAACCACUUUCUAGGACAUAUGUGCUUACAGGAUGUUUUUCAAGAUUACGAGAUUAUACUUUACAGUUUGGAAACUGAGCUACAGAGAGAAGUAAGUUCCAUCCAGGCCAGGACCCACCGUCUUGCUGGAGGGCUGUGUACUUGACCAUGCUGCUGGGCUGCAAUUCUGUCUCAUUUAAGGAAGAACGGACCAGUGCAAAAAAGAGGGAUAAAGGACAGAGAGUUAUUUCUUGAAGAGAGCCCACGAUAUGUAAGUUUAAGGAGAACAUUAAUUUACUCUGCAGUUAUUUAUCAGAUGCCCACAAGGGCCAGGCAUCAUGCUAAAGUCUGAGAAUACAGAUGGUUGUGAUGUUCACCCCCCACACCCAUGAGGAGGAAUGGUGACAGUAACAACAACUACUGGUUAUGGUUUGUAAUUUACUCCAUGCUCUACUGAGUAUCUUACAUGCAGAAUCUCAUUUAAUCUUCACCAUAAUGAAGACCGAAGGGUGUGUUAUUAUCAUCCACAGUUUACAAAUGAGAGAAUGAUGGAGGAGAAAGUUUAAACAACUGGCCAGUUCCAAAGGCCACUUGGUGGAAGACCUACCCUUUGACUGUACACCAUCCAACUCUGAGCCAGUACUUUUAGAAACUGAGCAGGUGAUCCACAAGCGUGCCCUGACUUCCUGAGAGCUAGGUGGGGAGCAGGUGGGAGGGGGAGGAAGUAGCCUAGAUUGGGGUAAGAGCAGAGAGCAACAAGUGAAAGGGAAUGCCAGCACAGCUCCUGAAGAUGGGGACUGAGGAGAAGAGGUGAGAGGGAGAGCAUAUCACUCUCUGAAAACUUUGAAGAGCACAGCACUUUAGGCACCCAGAGACAGCUGUCCCUGGAAACUCAGACACCAAGGGGAAAUGAUAGGAGAUGAGGCUGGGAAUGUGGGUCAGCAGCCCACUUCUAUAGGCCUAGUAGGCUGGGUAAAAGCUAUUAGAAGUUGUAAAUGAAUUCAGUUUUUGUAUUUCAUCACACAGACCUUAUGCAAAACAGGGAGUGUAUGUUAGAGUUAGCUAGUUAUUCACUAAAAACUUAUGGUCUUCUUUCUAUCAUGUGUGCUUGUCCCUGGGGGCAGCUGUCUAAACAGGCUGCCUUUUUAAAAAUUUCUGUUUUUUGAAAGAUUUUAUUUAUUUAUUUGACAGAGAGAGAGUACAAACAGGGGGAGAAGGAGAAGGAGAAGGGGGCUUCCUGCUCCCUGCCAAGCAGGGAGCCUGACACGGGGCUCCAUCCUAGGACCCCAGGAUCAUGACCUGAGCCAAAGGCAGACGCUUAACCAACUGAGCCACCCAGGCACCCCAGGGGCUACUUUUUCUGACCCACCUCCUUGCUUUCAAUAUGUAGGCACAUGAUAUUUGUUGCCACGGGAUGUGAAUGGAAGUAAUAUGUAUCACUUCCAUGCUGGAAUCUUGAAGAGACUGGUAUGUCUUACCUGGGCUCUUUUUACAUUUCUAAUCCCUAGGGGAGACAACUCGGAGCCCUGGGGUGAUGGCAGAGCCACAAGAUGGAAGCAGCCUGGGUCCCUGACUCACCAUCACCAUCCCUGUGCAUCACUUGGUGCACAGCUCCAAGUGGAUGGGAUUUCUUCGAAAAUGAGAAAUAAACCUCCAGGGUGUUAAGCCA